CAUUAGUGGCGAACGGGUGAGUAACACGUGAGUAACCUGCCCUUGACUCUGGGAUAAGCCUGGGAAACUGGGUCUAAUACUGGAUAUGACUUCUCACCGCAUGGUGGGGGGUGGAAAGAUUUAUUGGUCUUGGAUGGACUCGCGGCCUAUCAGCUUGUUGGUGAGGUAAUGGCUCACCAAGGCGACGACGGGUAGCCGGCCUGAGAGGGUGACCGGCCACACUGGGACUGAGACACGGCCCAGACUCCUACGGGAGGCAGCAGUGGGGAAUGUUGCACAAUGGGCGCAAGCCUGAUGCAGCGACGCCGCGUGAGGGAUGACGGCCUUCGGGUUGUAAACCUCUUUCAGUAGGGAAGAAGCGAAAGUGACGGUACCUGCAGAAGAAGCGCCGGCUAACUACGUGCCAGCAGCCGCGGUAAUACGUAGGGCGCGAGCGUUAUCCGGAAUUAUUGGGCGUAAAGAGCUCGUAGGCGGUUUGUCGCGUCUGCCGUGAAAGUCCGGGGCUUAACCCCGGAUCUGCGGUGGGUACGGGCAGACUAGAGUGCAGUAGGGGAGACUGGAAUUCCUGGUGUAGCGGUGAAAUGCGCAGAUAUCAGGAGGAACACCGAUGGCGAAGGCAGGUCUCUGGGCUGUAACUGACGCUGAGGAGCGAAAGCAUGGGGAGCGAACAGGAUUAGAUACCCUGGUAGUCCAUGCCGUAAACGUUGGGCACUAGGUGUGGGGGACAUUCCACGUUUUCCGCGCCGUAGCUAACGCAUUAAGUGCCCCGCCUGGGGAGUACGGCCGCAAGGCUAAAACUCAAAGGAAUUGACGGGGGCCCGCACAAGCGGCGGAGCAUGCGGAUUAAUUCGAUGCAACGCGAAGAACCUUACCAAGGCUUGACAUGUUCCUGACCGCCGUAGAGAUACGGUUUCCCCUUUGGGGCAGGUUCACAGGUGGUGCAUGGUUGUCGUCAGCUCGUGUCGUGAGAUGUUGGGUUAAG
RNAcentral lists this ribosomal RNA (982 nucleotides) under uncultured bacterium. RNAcentral's name for it is "bacterial SSU rRNA". It matches the Rfam family "Bacterial small subunit ribosomal RNA", at positions 90 to 1084 of the family's 1533-position model. The record is from RNAcentral.